CCUACGGGGGGCUGCAGUGGGGAAUAUUGGACAAUGGGGGAAACCCUGAUCCAGCAAUGCCGCGUGUGUGAAGAAGGCCUGCGGGUUGUAAAGUACUUUCGGUUGGGAAGAAAAGUUUGGCGCCAAUACCGCCGAACCUUGACGUUACUGACAGAAGAAGCACCGGCUAACUCUGUGCCAGCAGCCGCGGUAAUACAGAGGGUGCAAGCGGUAAUCGAGCGCACUGAGGUGAACAUGUAAGUAGGGGGUCAAAUCCCCGGGCUUAACCUGGGAACUGCAUUCGAUACUACAUGGCUAGAGUAUGGUAGAGGGAAGUGGAAUUUCCGGUGUAGCGGUGAAAUGCGUAGAUAUCGGAAGGAACACCAAUGGCGAAGGCAGCUUCCUGGACUAAUACUGACACUGAGGCACGAAAGCGUGGGUAGCAAACAGGAUUAGAUACCCCUGUAGUC
RNAcentral lists this ribosomal RNA (449 nucleotides) under uncultured bacterium. RNAcentral describes it as "partial 16S ribosomal RNA". It matches the Rfam family "Bacterial small subunit ribosomal RNA", at positions 338 to 795 of the family's 1533-position model. The record is from RNAcentral.